GGAGGAUUGGCCGAGUGGUAAGGCAGCGGCUUGCACUGUGCUCAUUCAAAGCGAGUCGUCGUCGGGGUGGAAGCCCCGCGCGCGUUCGAUCCGCGCAUCCUCCG
This 104-nucleotide transfer RNA is filed under the name Streptomyces xanthii. Its description in RNAcentral is "Streptomyces sp. CRXT-Y-14 tRNA-OTHER". It matches the Rfam family "tRNA". From Rfam's summary of the family: Transfer RNA (tRNA) molecules are approximately 80 nucleotides in length. Their secondary structure includes four short double-helical elements and three loops (D, anti-codon, and T loops). Further hydrogen bonds mediate the characteristic L-shaped molecular structure. tRNAs have two regions of fundamental functional importance: the anti-codon, which is responsible for specific mRNA codon recognition, and the 3' end, to which the tRNAs corresponding amino acid is attached (by aminoacyl-tRNA synthetases). tRNAs cope with the degeneracy of the genetic code in two manners: having more than one tRNA (with a specific anti-codon) for a particular amino acid; and 'wobble' base-pairing, i.e. permitting non-standard base-pairing at the 3rd anti-codon position. Lineage: Bacteria; Bacillati; Actinomycetota; Actinomycetes; Kitasatosporales; Streptomycetaceae. The record is from RNAcentral.